This 109-nucleotide ribosomal RNA is filed under the name uncultured eukaryote. Its description in RNAcentral is "partial small subunit ribosomal RNA". It matches the Rfam family "Eukaryotic small subunit ribosomal RNA", at positions 1676 to 1785 of the family's 1831-position model. The record is from RNAcentral.
UCGCUACUACCGAUUGAAUGGCUUAGUGAGCCGUAGGGACUGAGACGCCUUGCAUUCGUGCAUGUGACUAUCGGAAACUACUGCAAACUUGAUCAUUUAGAGGAAGUAA